CCGUCAAUUCCUUUGAGUUUCAUUCUUGCGAACGUACUCCCCAGGUGGGAUACUUAUCACUUUCGCUUAGCCACUGAGAUUGCUCCCAACAGCUAGUAUCCAUCGUUUACGGCGUGGACUACCAGGGUAUCUAAUCCUGUUCGCUACCCACGCUUUCGUCCAUCAGCGUCAAUCCAUUAGUAGUAACCUGCCUUCGCAAUUGGUAUUCCAUGUAAUCUCUAAGCAUUUCACCGCUACACUACAUAUUCUAGUUACUUCCUAAUAAUUCAAGUUUAACAGUAUCAAUGGCCGUUCCACCGUUGAGCGAUGGGCUUUCACCACUGACUUAUUAAACCGCCUACGGACCCUUUAAACCCAAUGAUUCCGGAUAACGCUUGGAUCCUCCGUAUUACCGCGGCGG
This 400-nucleotide unclassified non-coding RNA is filed under the name uncultured fungus. RNAcentral describes it as "sequence contains ITS1". The record is from RNAcentral. Lineage: Eukaryota; Fungi.